AUUCAAUACACCGUUCUAAAAAAUCGAAGGACCCAAUACUUAAGUCUACAAUAAUGUACGAACGACUUUAUUACCAAUGUUAUGAGGGCAAGGUCAGACCAUCCAAAUCAAAAGGAAAAAGACAAAGAUUGUCUGUCAAGAAAAAUUGUUUAUCCAGAAUUUCUUUUGCCAAAGAUGGACCAUAUCUAAAAUGUAUCAGUAUACAUGAUAUACAUAAUCAUGAUAGAGAUCUAUCUUUGUUCAUGGCAUCUUGCCGGCAAAGACAAUUGGAUGGUGAUCAAAAGUCAAUAAUUCACCAAGCUCUUAAAUAUGAUGGAAAUCUUACAUUGAUACAUCAAGAAAUGAAAAGAAAGAAUUUAAAUAUAACCAAAAGGGAUUUAUAUAAUCUAAAACAUCAAUAUAUGAAAAAUCCAUGUAGUGUUAAUGA
This is a long non-coding RNA of Gordionus sp. m RMFG-2023, 427 nucleotides long. RefSeq lists it as uncharacterized. The transcript has 3 exons. The record is from RefSeq and is a predicted model, not a curated record. NCBI's taxonomy places the organism in Eukaryota, Metazoa, Nematomorpha, Gordioida, Chordodea, Parachordodidae.